This 955-nucleotide long non-coding RNA is filed under the name Homo sapiens (human). RNAcentral describes it as "HSALNT0304321". Lineage: Eukaryota; Metazoa; Chordata; Mammalia; Primates; Hominidae. The record is from RNAcentral.
GGGACCUGGAUGGUCUCGCCUCUCCCCCCCGCUUUUGCUUGGGCCAAUCCGACCUCCUCACCUCCUCGUAGCUCCCCCAGCACACCUUGCCUUUGCCAUCUCUGCAUGUGCCGCGCCUGCUGUCUGGAAGACCGGCAUCCAUUCCCCUCUGCCUUCCAAACUCUCCCUGUAGGACCAGCUCAAAAGGCAUCUCCUCUUCAGCUGUUCCUGCUGCCAGGGCUAAUAUCGUCUUCCUCUUUUUUCCCCACUAGCGCUUCUUUGUCUAUUUUGGAGAGGUUUUGUUUUGGAUAACUUUUUAAUUGAGAUGUAACUCACAUUAUCAUAAUAUUCGUCUUUUUUAAAUGCACAGUUCAAUGGUUUUUAGUAUUCUAUUCACAAAGUUGUGCAACUAUCAGCAUAAUUAAUUUCAGGAUAUUUUCCUCACCCUAAAAAGAAACUCCGUACCCUUUAGUUGUCACUCCUCAUUUCUGCCUCUCCCCAGCCUCUGAAACCCACUAAUCUACUUUCUGUUUCUGGAUUUGCCUAUUGUAGACAUUUCAUAUGGAUGGAAUCGUGCAUAUAUGGCCUUUGGUGACUAGUUUCCUUCUCUUAGCAUAACAUUUUCAAGGCUCAUCAUGAUGUAGCCUGAAUCAGUAUUUCAUUCCUUUUUAAGGAUCAAAUAAUAUUCAUUUCUACCUUGGGGCCAUUAUGAAUAAUUCUUCCAUCAACAUUUGUGUACAAAUUGUGUGUGGAAGUGUUUCCAAUUCCCUUGGGUAUAUAUGUAGGAGUGGAAUCGCUGGCUCAUACAGUCCUUCUGUGUUUAAGUUUUUGAGGAGCCACCACUGUUUCCCAAAGCAACUGUUUUUGGCUUUUUAACCAAUAUGUAAGCUCAUUCUCAUUGUUAAAAAAAAAAAAAAAAAAGUCCCCACAUGCCAGUGAAAUGUUCAAGUCCUCCCAAUCACAUCCCCAUCCCAGU